This 1637-nucleotide long non-coding RNA is filed under the name Sus scrofa (pig). Its description in RNAcentral is "lncRNA (ENSSSCG00040055343.1)". Lineage: Eukaryota; Metazoa; Chordata; Mammalia; Artiodactyla; Suidae. The record is from RNAcentral.
CCGCUGGAGGAGCGCGGCCGGUGCCGGUGACGCACUUUGGAGCCAGCGCUGCGCGUAGAGCCCCGUCGCCCCGGGGCGGGGGCGGGGCCAAGGCCGAGGUGGGGGCCGCAGGACGGUGGGGACCCGGAGGUGUGAGACUCAGCAUUGACGUCUUUGCGACCUGCAGCGCUCCACGUGCCGAAUCGCCAGGCUCGCACAGUUAUCCCCAUUUCACAGAAGAGGAGACUGAGACUCAGAGCGUUGCUAAGUCUUAGGCAGCCAGGACGGGAACCAUCGCGGGGCAGGCAUUGUUCUCUGGAUCAGGCGGCUCCAGAGCCGAUUUCUUUUUGCUGCAACUGUUUUCUUUUGCGUAUUGGUUGUCCGCCGCGCUCAGGGGAUCUGACACUGGACCGGCACAAACAGCCGCCGAAAGCUAAUAAUUGGGCUUUGUUUUAAAAUGGGCCACAGCAUCUUUCUGAACCUCUCGAUUACGCGCGGUGUAACCCACGUUUGGACACCCAGCCCGAAGAGGAGGAGCAGAUUGCAGAGCCUGGCUUCGGGGGAACCGAAGACAAAAGCAACCUUUUUCCUCCUCUCCUGCUCUAAGUCGCAUCUCUAUUUUCCUCCUUCUUUGAGAUCCUGGCCACUUCCCUCCUAAACCUGCUUUGGAGGAUGCUUGUAUGCUGUGCACUUAAGUCCGGCCCUGAGCCUGCCCUCUCCCUGGGCCAUCAAGAGAAGGCUUUGGGGCUUUCAGCAAAGAUGGGCUGCAGCCGUUCCGAGAAGACAUAAGCCACCAUUUGUCCGCUGCAAAGAAACCAACCUUUCAGCUCGGGAUAGUGAGGCCGAAUGUUGUCCAGAGCUAAAAGGGCUUAUUUUUAGAAAGCAACAAACAGUGGUUUGUUUAUAGAGCUGGCACCAAAGAGCCAUAUCAAUAGCAAAGAGUCUGCUCCCUGAAGACUGGGAAAGCUGGGGUGCUCUAGAGAGGCUGUGUGGGGAACGUUUGGCCCGAAAGCCUAUGGAAGGCGGCCUUUACAUAUCGGCUCAAAACCAAUGUCCCUGAAGGUCAAAGUUAUCGAGAGCAGCAGUCUGUCCUCUGCCACUGACAGACAGUCACCCGCCUUGGACCUUCCUGCUUUUUGGUUUUUCAAGUCGGGAGAAUGACAAUGUUGGACUCAAAAGUCAUGUUGGCUCUAAAAGCCCAUAGCUUAUUUAAAUACGAUGUGAGAUUUCAGGAAAUUGGGCUAAAUCUAUACUGGUUCCUUGCCAUUCCUUAAGAUAUCUUUUUCUUUUUCUUUUUUUGGACCAUGCACGUGGCAUUCAGACAUUCCAGGACCAGGGAUCAAACCUGUACCACAGGAGUGACCCGAGCCACAACGGUGACAAUGCUGGAUCCUUAAUCCAAUGAGCCACCAGGGAAUUCCCUUCAUAUUUUGUUAAAUACAUAUUCUUCUUUCUUUUUGGCUCUCAGUUUGUUUCUAUGUUAUUCAUAUUUUUUCUCUUUGUAAUGAAGGAAUGUCUCGUGGCACAAGCAGAUUUGGGGGGGGGCGGUUCUUGGAGAUCAUGAAUGAUUAAAUUCUGAUCUGUGAGAGAUUUCAGUGUGAAAAUGCCCAGGUAUUCCAAGCAGUAAGCUCAGUUUCUGGAGGAGAGUGUGACUCCAU